This 253-nucleotide ribosomal RNA is filed under the name uncultured bacterium. RNAcentral's name for it is "partial 16S ribosomal RNA". It matches the Rfam family "Bacterial small subunit ribosomal RNA", at positions 524 to 776 of the family's 1533-position model. The record is from RNAcentral.
UACGGAGGGUGCGAGCGUUAAUCGGAAUUACUGGGCGUAAAGGGUGCGUAGGUUGUUGAUUAAGUUAUCUGUGAAAUUCCUGGGUUUAACUUGGGACGGUCAGAUGAUACUGGUUGACUGGAGUAUGGGAGAGGGCAGUGGAAUUUCCGGUGUAGCGGUGAAAUGCGUAGAGAUCGGAAGGAACACCGGUGGCGAAGGCGGCUGCCUGGCCUAAUACUGACACUGAGGCACGAAAGCGUGGGGAGCAAACAGG